GCCCGGAUAGCUCAGUCGGUAGAGCAGAGGAUUGAAAAUCCCCGUGUCCUUGGUUCGAUUCCGAGUCCGGGCACCA
RNAcentral lists this transfer RNA (76 nucleotides) under Escherichia coli. Its description in RNAcentral is "tRNA-Phe". It matches the Rfam family "tRNA". Rfam says of the family: Transfer RNA (tRNA) molecules are approximately 80 nucleotides in length. The record is from RNAcentral. Lineage: Bacteria; Pseudomonadati; Pseudomonadota; Gammaproteobacteria; Enterobacterales; Enterobacteriaceae. RNAcentral also lists the same sequence under 10 other names.